AUGUUAGGGUGUCGUGGGGUGAUGUUAGGGUGUUGUGGGGUGAUGUGGGGCGCGGGCCCCGCCGCAGAGACGGAGCAGAGGCCAGCCGGGAGGGAGGCACGGCAGGCGAGAAAUUUAUGGGUGCGAUUGGAUGCAGGUCAGGGCGAGGAUGAGGGAUGGGUUAUUAAUGGGAAAGGAACGGGCAGGAAACGUCGCCGGAGCGAAUGGGCUGGAGCAGCAACGUGCGGAGACACGGGGCUCGGCCGAGAGGUUCAAAAGGGGAGAGAAGAAGCGCAAAAAAAGCAGCAAACGGUGGGCGAGAGAGGGAGGGGAGCGGACGGUCCUCCCGCUGCCGUACCGGGCCGGGGGUGCUCGGAGCGAUGUCCACGGCGAGGAUGGUCCCUCACGGCUCGGGCACGGCCCGCGGGGGGGCCCCGGGGCCAGGACCGGGCUGGAUGCGGGGGGGGCAGGGAGCGAGCGGCCGGGAGAGGGAAGCCGAGCGGGAGCCGCUGUGCCGGGCUCGAAGAGAAAGGAGCCGCGGCGGGGAGGCCGGGGCCGGCUCGUCCUCCGGGGAGGCCGGGAGGAGCCGGGAGGAGCCGUGCGGGGCCCGACGGCCGCGGGGCGGGGGGCGAGCGGGGCCGCCCCCGGGGGGAGCCGCGGCGGCGGAGCGCUCCUCGGCCGGACAGACACGUGUCUUCUGGCCGGGACCUGUCAAAGCCGGGAGAGCGGCUCCUGAUUUAUUACCCCAAACACACACACCCCCGCCCGCCUCCCCUCCUUCCCUCCCCUCCUUCCCUCCCUCCCUCCCCCCGGCCUCGCCGCCCUCCCUUCCCGGAGCGCUCCGCCGGGCGCCGAGCUCAAACCGGCCCCGGAGCGCGGCUUCCCCGAGGCCGGGGCCAGCUCCGGGGCUGCGGCACCAGCCCCAGCCGUGUCCCCCCCACCCCGCUAACCCCCGGCCCGGCCCCGGGGCUCAGCUCCGGGCGCUGGGUGCCGCUGCCCCCGCUCCCCGGGGCACGGAGACGGAGGGGACCCGGGGACGGGCUCCGGAGGCUGCGGGCUGCGAGCGGCGGGGCUGGGGCCGGGAGGGCUCCCAGGGGGCCGGGGGAAGCCCCCGCGGCCGGGCACGGGUGGGAGCGGCGGGGAGGGGGGCAGCAAACAAGUGGAAUUGGAAGAGGGGCUGCGGUACAAAAAGAGUUAAGGAAAAUAGAGGGAAAGAUCAAAGAGCCGGGUAAAAGACUCUUCAAAUUACACGUUUGA
RNAcentral lists this long non-coding RNA (1236 nucleotides) under Anser brachyrhynchus (Pink-footed goose). Its description in RNAcentral is "lncRNA (ENSABRG00000022071.1)". Lineage: Eukaryota; Metazoa; Chordata; Aves; Anseriformes; Anatidae. The record is from RNAcentral.